This 253-nucleotide ribosomal RNA is filed under the name uncultured bacterium. RNAcentral's name for it is "partial 16S ribosomal RNA". It matches the Rfam family "Bacterial small subunit ribosomal RNA", at positions 524 to 776 of the family's 1533-position model. The record is from RNAcentral.
UACGUAGGGAGCAAGCGUUGUUCGGAAUUACUGGGCGUAAAGGGUGUGUAGGUGGUGUCGUAAGUUUGGUGUGAAAUCUCCCGGCUUAACUGGGAGGGUGCGCCGAAGACUGCGAUGCUGGAGUAUGGGAGAGGAAAGCGGAAUUCCUGGUGUAGCGGUGAAAUGCGUAGAUAUCAGGAGGAACACCUGCGGUGUAGACGGCUUUCUGGACCAUUACUGACACUGAGACACGAAAGCGUGGGUAGCAAACAGG